RNAcentral lists this long non-coding RNA (471 nucleotides) under Glycine max (soybean). RNAcentral's name for it is "long non-coding RNA (GMAX_LNC004246)". The record is from RNAcentral. Lineage: Eukaryota; Viridiplantae; Streptophyta; Magnoliopsida; Fabales; Fabaceae.
CUCUCACCACAGUAGUAUCCUUUGAUGUCUAAGGGAAAUUUAUUAAGUUUCUCACCAUGCAUGUCAAUGUGCAAAGCAACAGAAAACUCUGCUGGACAAAAGCAAGCUAAAAUCCUUUCCACAAGUUCACCUAGAGCCAUGUCAUUAAAGUCAUAACCAACAGCUUCAAAACUUGCGUAACUGAAACCAUCUUCAGGAGUGACAUGGAUGGUGGAUAUAGCACUCCCUUCUAUUCCAUUCAUUGAAUAUCCGCAAGGGUCAAAUUCAAAAUCAGAUAUAUCAGACUGUGGAAGGAUCUUCCUAAUUCCAGAAUUUUCGGUCAUUGAAGCUGCUGAAGAUGUAUUCUCCUUGAAAAACACAGAAGCACUUUCCUUGUCUAAACCGGUCAUGCACAUCUCUAGGCCAUAGACAGCUUCAGAUGAUCCUUUGGUCUGUGCACUUGCAGAGUAGAUGUGCCAAAUCUGUGACUUU